This 582-nucleotide ribosomal RNA is filed under the name uncultured bacterium. Its description in RNAcentral is "bacterial SSU rRNA". It matches the Rfam family "Bacterial small subunit ribosomal RNA", at positions 72 to 657 of the family's 1533-position model. The record is from RNAcentral.
UGCUAUUUGGCGUCGAGUGGCGAACGGGUGAGUAUCGCGUAGGAAUCUACCCAGUAGAGGGGGAUAGCCCGAAGAAAUUCGGAUUAAUACCGCAUAAUCUCUACGGAGUAAAGAAGGCCUCUUUACAAUGCUUUUACUAUUGGAUGAGCCUGCGUUAGAUUAGUUAGUUGGUAGGGUAAAAGCCUACCAAGGCGACGAUCUAUAGCUGGUUUUACGAGAAUGAUCAGCCACACUGGAACUGAGACACGGUCCAGACUCCUACGGGAGGCAGCAGUGAAGAAUAUUGGACAAUGGGGGAAACCCUGAUCCAGCAAUGUUGCGUGUGUGAAGAAGGUCCGAGGAUUGUAAAGCACUUUCAGUAAGCAAGAAAAAUGUAAAUCUAAUAGAUUUGCAUGUUGACCACUUAUAGAAAAAGCACCGGCUAACUCCGUGCCAGCAGCCGCGGUAAUACGGAGGGUGCGAGCGUUAAUCGGAAUUACUGGGCGUAAAGGGUAAGUAGGCGGUUUAUAAAGUCACAUGUGAAAGCCCUAGGCUUAACCUAGGAAGUGCAUGUGAUACUCAUAAACUAAGGUUUGAUAGAGG